Lotus japonicus is the source of this 1511-nucleotide long non-coding RNA. RefSeq lists it as uncharacterized. The record is from RefSeq and is a predicted model, not a curated record. The transcript has 2 exons. Lineage: Eukaryota; Viridiplantae; Streptophyta; Magnoliopsida; Fabales; Fabaceae.
UAUAUCCCCAUUCCCCUUUCACGUUCUUCUCUUCGGUUUCAGAAAGAAGAAAUCGUUCUUCCUUGCCUUUCGCCGGCGGCAACAACGACCUAGCGUGGUGCGGUGGUGGAUCUCCGGCAGCCUAGCCCGCUUCUCCAACCAGCAUGCUGAUUUCGUUUUCCUCUUCUCCUUAUGUCAUUGUUGAUUUGUUGAGAAGAUUCAUUUCCCUUCAAAUUCAGUACACUCCUUGGCGACGUAAUUUGUUGCUGCCCUGUAUCUCCUAUCUGACUGGUGCGGUCUAUUCUUUUUCCUGUACUGUGUACUCAGCCUGCAUAGGCGCUGGUUUAGUGGUGUGGGCUGUGGAAUUUCUGUUACAUGGCAUUUGCGAUUUCCUUUUUUUGUUUCUUUCCAGCUUUUCCUCCACUAAACGGUGUUGUAGGGGAAGAUCAGAAUAGGUGAGUUUUUCCUGCAAUCUUGACAGUUUUUACAACUUCAGAUGACCUGGAACUUGUUGAGAGAAUGCUGGAUUUGAUUAAGGUAUCUUACGUUCCAAGAUGCAUGAUGUACUUAAAUGUGAAAAUUUUGAUUCGUCCAAACAAACUUCACAAGUUUCUUUUUUAUUUUGUCAACAUAUUAUGUUGGAUAAGCACCAAAAGUGUGUGGCAUUAAAUGUAUGCUUGCAUGUCAAAAAUGGUUAACUAUACCUACACAGCCAAACUUGCCAUUUGGUAUGUAUAAGAUUGUCUUUAAGUGAUCCUGGGAUUUGGGUUCUAUCUCAGUAAGAAGCAUUUGUCUGUAGCCAGAGUUACAAAGCAAGCCUCAAAAGGAAGGUGCAUAAUCUGAACAAUUUUGGGAUGAUGGUUUGUUAUUACUGCUUUAUGGCACUGCUAACUUGUUUUCAUGGUUAUUUUUUUUCAGCAUGAUGGUUCUCGUGCACCAUAGAACACACUAAAUAGUGAACAACCAAGUCAGGAUCACCUAGGUGCUCCGUGUAGAUGCAGCGCAUCCCUGGAACAGCAAAGUUUGGCAGAGCCACGCGAUACUCCGGGACAUAGUACAGACCAUGAUUACCGGUGAAUUUUUUCAGAGGGCACAGUUUUUAGUGGACAGCACAAUCAGGUUCAACUAGGGUCUCAAAGAAGACGUUUUAGGUAUCUGGGACAGAGAAGUCAGAAUCAACUAGAUUGUAGUCCAACAAGUAGUACUCCUUAUGGUCACAAGGGACAGCCAAGUCAGGCUCCCCUAAGGGAUCCACCUCCAGGAAAUCUUGAACUUGAUCCUUAUGAAACCCACAUUCCGGAUGAAAUUCAGUAGCAAGGGGAUUUUCAAUGCAACAGGAUUUUCUAUAAAAUUGAGUGUCAUUGCAAUUGUACAAGCAUUAGAGAGAAAUAUUGAACUUGCCUAACUUGCCUUCUGUGGUUCUAGCAAGAUUUUAAUUGUAUUGUACCAAAGGCCAUGUUUUUUUUUUCAAAGCUAGAUACUUUGUUCUCAUACUCCCAUUGAAAUAAGAGUAAUAAUAUUCUUGUGUAUAA